GCGGAGGAAAAGAAACCAACAGGGAUUGCCCCAGUAACGGCGAGUGAAGCGGCAACAGCUCAAAUUUGAAAUCUGGUCCCCCCGCGGGGCCCGAGUUGUAAUUUGAAGAGGAUGCUUCUGGCAAGGUGCCGUCCGAGUUCCCUGGAACGGGACGCCGCAGAGGGUGAGAGCCCCGUACGGUCGGACGCCGAGCCUCUGUGAAGCUCCUUCGACGAGUCGAGUAGUUUGGGAAUGCUGCUCAAAAUGGGAGGUAAACCCCUUCUAAAGCUAAAUACCGGCCAGAGACCGAUAGCGCACAAGUAGAGUGAUCGAAAGAUGAAAAGCACUUUGAAAAGAGAGUUAAAAAGCACGUGAAAUUGUUGAAAGGGAAGCGCUUGCGACCAGACUCGCGCCCGUCGGAUCAGCCGUCGCUCGUCGGCGGCGCACUCCGGCGGGCUCGGGCCAGCAUCAGUUCGCCUCGGGGGGAGAAAGGCGGUGGGAAUGUGGCUCUUCGGAGUGUUAUAGCCCGCCGCGUAAUACCCCCGGGCGGACUGAGGACCGCGCGUAUGCAAGGAUGCUGGCGUAAUGGUCGUCAGCGACCCGUC
Molecule: small RNA, 584 nt
Filed under: Microascus macrosporus
Lineage: Eukaryota; Fungi; Ascomycota; Sordariomycetes; Microascales; Microascaceae
Description: eukaryotic LSU rRNA
Rfam family: Eukaryotic large subunit ribosomal RNA
Source: RNAcentral